UACAGAGGGUGCAAGCGUUAAUCGGAUUUACUGGGCGUAAAGCGUGCGUAGGCGGUUCGCUAAGUCGGUUGUGAAAUCCCUGGGCUUAACCUGGGAACUGCAGUCGAUACUGGCGGACUAGAGUACGGUAGAGGGUGGCGGAACUCCGGGUGUAGCGGUGAAAUGCGUAGAUAUCCGGAAGAACACCGAUGGCGAAGGCAACCUCCUGGGCCUGUACUGACGCUGAGGAGCGAAAGCCAGGGGAGCAAACGGG
Molecule: ribosomal RNA, 253 nt
Filed under: uncultured bacterium
Lineage: Bacteria
Description: partial 16S ribosomal RNA
Rfam family: Bacterial small subunit ribosomal RNA
Source: RNAcentral